RNAcentral lists this ribosomal RNA (1533 nucleotides) under metagenome. RNAcentral's name for it is "bacterial SSU rRNA". It matches the Rfam family "Bacterial small subunit ribosomal RNA". The record is from RNAcentral.
AGAGUUUGAUCCUGGCUCAGAUUGAACGCUGGCGGCACGCUUAACACAUGCAAGUCGAACGGCAGCGGGAGAGAGCUUGCUCUCUUGCCGGUGAGUGGCGAACGGGUGAGUAACGCGUAGGGAUCUGCCUGUUAGAGGGGGAUAAGCCGAGGAAACUUGGACUAAUACCGCAUACGCUCUGAGGAGGAAAGGAUGGGACUGCCGAAAGGUGGCCAUGCGCUAACAGAUGAACCUGCGUUAGAUUAGCUAGUUGGUAGGGUAAAGGCCUACCAAGGCGACGAUCUAUAGCUGGUCUGAGAGGAUGACCAGCCACACUGGAACUGAGAUACGGACCAGACUCCUACGGGAGGCAGCAGUGGGGAAUAUUGGACAAUGGGGGGAACCCUGAUCCAGCGAUGCCGCGUGUGUGAAGAAGGCCUGAGGGUUGUAAAGCACUUUAGUUGGGGAGGAAAGGUUUCACUUCGAAUAGGGGUGAAAGAAGACGUUACCCAAAGAAUAAGCACCGGCUAACUCUGUGCCAGCAGCCGCGGUAAUACAGAGGGUGCAAGCGUUAAUCGGAAUGACUGGGCGUAAAGGGCACGUAGGCGGAUAGAUGUGUCAUAGGUGAAAUCCCCGGGCUUAACCUGGGAACUGCCUAUGAAACUGUGUAUCUAGAAUAGAGUAGAGGUAAGUGGAAUUUCCGGUGUAGCGGUGAAAUGCGUAGAUAUCGGAAAGAACACCAGUGGCGAAGGCGACUUACUGGACUCAUAUUGACGCUGAGGUGCGAAAGCGUGGGGAGCAAACGGGAUUAGAUACCCCGGUAGUCCACGCUGUAAACGAUGAGAACUAGCUGCUUGUUGACUAAGGUUAAUGAGUAGUGAAGCAAACGCAUUAAGUUCUCCGCCUGGGGAGUACGGCCGCAAGGUUAAAACUCAAAGGAAUUGACGGGGGCCCGCACAAGCGGUGGAGCAUGUGGUUUAAUUCGAUGCAACGCGAAAAACCUUACCUACCCUUGACAUGUCUGGAAUCCUGAAGAGAUUUGGGAGUGCCCGCGAGGGAACCAGAACACAGGUGCUGCAUGGCUGUCGUCAGCUCGUGUCGUGAGAUGUUGGGUUAAGUCCCGUAACGAGCGCAACCCCUAUUGUUAGUUGCCAUCAAGUAAAGUUGGGCACUCUAAUGAGACUGCCGGUGAUAAACCGGAGGAAGGUGGGGAUGAUGUCAAGUCAUCAUGGCCCUUAUGGGUAGGGCUACACACGUGCUACAAUGGACGGUACAAAGGGAAGCGAAGUCGCGAGAUGGAGCGGAUCCUCAUAAGCCGUUCGUAAUCCGGAUUGGAGUCUGCAACUCGACUCCAUGAAGUCGGAAUCGCUAGUAAUCGUGGAUCAGCAUGCCACGGUGAAUACGUUCCCGGGCCUUGUACACACCGCCCGUCACGCCAUGGGAGUGGGUUGUACCAGAAGUCAGUAGACUAACCGCAAGGAGGUCGCUGACCACGGUAUGGUUCAUGACUGGGGUGAAGUCGUAACAAGGUAGCCGUAGGGGAACCUGCGGCUG